Molecule: ribosomal RNA, 374 nt
Filed under: uncultured organism
Description: partial 16S ribosomal RNA
Rfam family: Bacterial small subunit ribosomal RNA
Source: RNAcentral
GUAGGGAGCAAGCGUUGUUCGGGAAUUAUUGGGGCGUAAAGAGCGCGUAGGCGGCUAGGCAAGUCUGAUGUGAAAUCCCACAGCUCAACUGUGGAACUGCAUCGGAAACUGCUUAGCUGGAGUGCGGGAGAGGAGAGUGGAAUUCCCAGUGUAGAGGUGAAAUUCGUAGAUAUUGGGAGGAACACCGGUGGCGAAGGCGGCUCUCUGGACCGCAACUGACGCUGAGGCGCGAAAGCUAGGGGAGCGAACGGGAUUAGAUACCCCGGUAGUCCUAGCCGUAAACGAUGGGCACUAGGUGUGGGAGGUAUCGACCCCUUCUGUGCCGCAGCUAACGCAUUAAGUGCCCCGCCUGGGGAGUACGGUCGCAAAGACUA